AAGUCGUAACAAGGUUUCCGUAGGUGAACCUGCGGAAGGAUCAUUAACACGUAUCCAAACGUUAAACCCCCCUGUGAACCUUCACCUGUACUCGUACGUCCGUUAGAAAAAGCAGCAAUCCCUGGUAAAUCAUCGCCGAACAGUUUUCGAUUCAGGGACGUCUGCAAGGAGCGUGCAUGUUGUGCGAAGCAAGUGGCCUGGCAUCCCCAAGCAGUUAGUGUCUGAAAGUGUCAUUAACUGUGUAAGGAUGACGCAGUCACGAUCGUUGGAGGCCCACACGGCCGACGACCGGGCCUCUGGGCGCAAGCCCCCCUAUAACAAACGCUGCUAAUCGCGGCCGCGAUAAUACGCAGUCGACCAAAAACCGAACAACUGUUAACAAUGGAUAUCUUGGUUCUC
RNAcentral lists this unclassified non-coding RNA (399 nucleotides) under fungal sp. RNAcentral's name for it is "partial internal transcribed spacer region". The stretch from base 1 to 46 matches the Rfam family "Eukaryotic small subunit ribosomal RNA", at positions 1786 to 1831 of the family's 1831-position model. The record is from RNAcentral. Lineage: Eukaryota; Fungi.